GGCUGGAAUAAGUUUCCCCUGACAUCACCAGAAGUGCUCUUGAUAGGGUUCCUCUUCCUCAAAGACCGUGUGAAUACUUCCAGCAACUACCUCGGCUAAGCUCCAGGCAACGCGCUUGCACCUCCGGCUGCAGAAAGUCAACGAAGCUGUACUGAGGAAUGGAAGACCUGGAUGCAGACCCCUAACACGGGCAAACCUGCUGUGAAAACGGUGCAGAAAAAGCUGCAGACCAGAGCCUUGGCUCCUCAAUAAGGAAAGAUGGUUGACAACACUCAAGCUCGCACUGAUCGGGAUGCACGGGAAUUCAGCGGUCUGUUAAGGUGCAGGUGGGGAAGCCAAGCUGGAUUGGGGAGCUGUUAAUCACCAACAAGCAGAUGUUCUAAAACGACAACUCAGACUCGGGAUUGAAGUUUCUAUGCCCAUCGCACAGCCUACCCGGGGGCCGCAGAGUAAACAGCCACCCCCAGCCUGCAAGCCAAGCCCUUGGAAGUUGGGCAUGUGGCAGCCAACUCGGCACGGAGCGCCCCAACGCCGCCAGGUCUUUGCUCAACUCCCGAGGAAGGAUUUAGGGGCGAUUACCGCGGCGUUGGGCAAGCGGAGGAACGAGAAACUCAAUAUUUGGGAUGCGAGGCUCGGCCGCCGCGGCAGGGCGAGAACAACGUGUUUGUUUUUGUUAGAAGUCCAAACCAGGGGCGUUUUUUAUCGCUGCGAGGAGCGAGCUUACCACCUCAGUGCCCGGGCCAAACUGGUACAAGACAUCGUUCAUCAGCAAUGAAACUCCAGUGUGUUAGAACGCUGAAUAACCUCCACAGUGACUCAGUGGAAAAGCCAUUUCUUGGUGCUUAAAAUAAGCAUAAGAAUGCUUCACCAUCAGUAAGACAUGUUCCAGGCAAACAAACUGCUGCGAGAAUGUCAUGUGCAUGUUGAAGAAUUUAUAAGAGAAAUCAAGGAGACAGACUUCUCUGGUAAGUUACAAGUGCUGGAGUAUCCAGCAGCUGAUCUUUAAAGCGUUCUUGUUUUGUAUUUUAAUUUCAGUGUCAGUUUUCCUCUGGUACCAAUAGCAGGCUGUGUAGGGGAUUAAGCCACUGACAAUAAUAAG
This 1099-nucleotide long non-coding RNA is filed under the name Anas platyrhynchos (mallard). RNAcentral describes it as "lncRNA (ENSAPLG00020010655.1)". The record is from RNAcentral. Lineage: Eukaryota; Metazoa; Chordata; Aves; Anseriformes; Anatidae.